ACCCGCUGAACUUAAGCAUAUCAAUAAGCGGAGGAAAAGAAACCAACGGGGAUUGCCUCAGUAACGGCGAGUGAAGCGGCAACAGCUCAAAUUUGAAAUCUGGUCCUUCCGGGGCCCGAGUUGUAAUUUGUAGAGGAUGUUUCGGGCGCGGCGCCGGACUAAGUCCCUUGGAACGGGGCGUCACAGAGGGUGAGAAUCCCGUAUGCGACCGGCGACCAAGCCCAUGUGAAACUCCUUCGACGAGUCGAGUUGUUUGGGAAUGCAGCUCAAAAUGGGUGGUAAAUUUCAUCUAAAGCUAAAUACCGGCCAGAGACCGAUAGCGCACAAGUAGAGUGAUCGAAAGAUGAAAAGCACUUUGGAAAGAGAGUCAAACAGUACGUGAAAUUGUUGAAAGGGAAGCGCUUGCAACCAGACCUGCCCGCGGGUGAUCAGCCGUUCUUCUGGGCGGUGCACUCGCCCGUGAUCAGGCCAGCAUCGGUUCGGGCGGCCGGAUAAAGGCCCUGGGAACGUAGCUUCUUUCGGGGAGUGUUAUAGCCCAGGGCGCAAUGCGGCCCGCCGGGACCGAGGACCGCGCUCCGGCUAGGAUGCUGGCGUAAUGGUUGUAAGCGGCCCGUCUUGAAACACGGACCAAGGAGUCUAACAUCUAUGCGAGUGUUUGGGUGGAA
This 665-nucleotide ribosomal RNA is filed under the name Aridoplaca peltata. RNAcentral describes it as "partial large subunit ribosomal RNA". It matches the Rfam family "Eukaryotic large subunit ribosomal RNA", at positions 23 to 704 of the family's 3401-position model. The record is from RNAcentral. Lineage: Eukaryota; Fungi; Ascomycota; Lecanoromycetes; Teloschistales; Teloschistaceae.